GACGAACGCUGGCGGCGUGCUUAACACAUGCAAGUCGAACGGACAGACAGAGAGCUUGCUCUCUUGAAGUUAGUGGCGAACGGGUGAGUAACGCGUAAUCAACCUGCCCUUCAGAGGGGGAUAACAACGGGAAACCGUUGCUAAUACCGCGUACGAUUCAUGAACGGCAUCGUUUAUGAAUGAAAGGUGGCCUCUAUGUAUAAGCUAUCGCUGAAGGAGGGGCUUGCGUCUGAUUAGCUAGUUGGAGGGGUAACGGCCCACCAAGGCAAUGAUCAGUAGCCGGUCUGAGAGGAUGAACGGCCACAUUGGGACUGAGACACGGCCCAAACUCCUACGGGAGGCAGCAGUGGGUAAUCUUCCGCAAUGGACGAAAGUCUGACGGAGCAACGCCGCGUGAGUGAUGAAGGUCUUCGGAUUGUAAAGCUCUGUUAAUCGGGACGAAAGAGUUCUGCGUGAAUAAUGCAGAAAAGUGACGGUACCGGAAUAGAAAGCCACGGCUAACUACGUGUCAGCCGCCGCAGUAA
Molecule: ribosomal RNA, 524 nt
Filed under: uncultured bacterium
Lineage: Bacteria
Description: partial 16S ribosomal RNA
Rfam family: Bacterial small subunit ribosomal RNA
Source: RNAcentral